GAGUAUGCAUAGGCCUGCAAAUAGGUUUGGGCGCUCGUACGCACGCAUAUGUAUGUGCAAAUGAGAGAGGGUUGAACAUACCAAUUGGGAGAUUUUUUUUUUUUUUUUCAAACAGGUUUGGGCGCUCAUACACAUAUAUGAAUGGGCAAUGGGAGAGUAUUGAACAUACCAAUUGGGAGAUACAUAUAUAUAUAUUUCUUUAAGUUGACACUCACAAACUCUCCUUUGAAAAAAAUUUUGGACCUAAGAGGAGUCCAUCCCUAAACGCACUAUUUCAAGAGGAACUGGGGAUAAAUAGUCUUUUUUUUUUUCUUUUUUUCUCUCAACUUAUGUAAUACAAGUCGGUAAAUAGUAAUAUUUGAUGUCGAGUGCAUUUAUUUAAGAAGGAAAAAAUAAAAAAAAAAUGAGAGUGCGAAAAUAGUCUCCCAUAACAAAGCCGAUACUAAACAUUCCUUUUAAAGCAGAUAUUUGAGGAGAGAAAAAUGGAAAAAUAGGGACUUAAUCAGACUCUCUCUCUGUGUCUAAACCCACAAUGAUACACAACAACUGUCAACACCUACUCUCCUCCAACGCAACAUCCCCAUCCCCAACUGUCUCCUUGUUCAUUUUCCUUUUGUCCACAUUGCUCUCCCUCCACUCCACAUUGUCUCAGCCCUCCUCCGAACCAGAACCAGAACCAAACAAUGGCUUUGCCCAAGUCCCACCCACCACAACCGCACCAGAGGACGAACCCAUCGAACUACCUCCUUCCACUCCAUCCAUUUUCGCAACCACAGACGACCCUUCACCUCUCCAAGUCGCCACCAGUGUCUGUCUUCCUCUUCCGCUCUCUCCAUCUCGUGCAAAAGCGAGCCCAAGAAUGGUCUUGAAGAGUAAAAACAUGGUUGAAGGAGAAAGCAAUCGAUAGCUCCAAUGCAAUGACCCGGCACCGGUUGGACGCCAAGACUCCACCUUUGCCUGUUCAGACACUUUCAGAUGAUUUCUCGGUUCGCCGAAUAACAGACUAUUGCUAACAGAUUGUGCUAUCAAUAUUUGUUCUUGGCAUCAAGUCUGUAGGUUUAUCCCCUUACUCGGGCGAGCUUUCUAUCAACUUCUUCAUGGGAGAUCCUACUAGUAAAGAUACUCAGAAGUCAAAAUAAAGAUGAAGUGCAGUUAAGUUCAACAAAUUUUACAGCCAAGACCCACAGAUAGCUCUGAAACGGACAUCAGUGAUGAGGAACAAAGUUCAGAUAAUACGCAGUAAUGGAAGACAUUGAAGGAACAGGGUCGAAUUGGUGUCUAGGUUAUGCAACACUGCUACCAGAAUCACUGAAGAAACAAACAUCGGGAUUGGACCAAAAAUCCACAAUAGCAAGGUGGUGGCA
Cornus florida is the source of this 1364-nucleotide long non-coding RNA. RefSeq lists it as uncharacterized. The record is from RefSeq and is a predicted model, not a curated record. Lineage: Eukaryota; Viridiplantae; Streptophyta; Magnoliopsida; Cornales; Cornaceae. The transcript is spliced from 5 exons.